RNAcentral lists this Y RNA (97 nucleotides) under Prolemur simus (greater bamboo lemur). RNAcentral describes it as "Y RNA (ENSPSMG00000014016.1)". It matches the Rfam family "Y RNA". From Rfam's summary of the family: Y RNAs are components of the Ro ribonucleoprotein particle (Ro RNP), in association with Ro60 and La proteins. The Y RNAs and Ro60 and La proteins are well conserved, but the function of the Ro RNP is not known. Lineage: Eukaryota; Metazoa; Chordata; Mammalia; Primates; Lemuridae. The record is from Rfam by way of RNAcentral.
GGCUGGUCUGAGUGCAGUGGUGUUUACAACUAAUUAAUCACAACCAGUUACGGAUCUCUUUGUUCUUUCUCUUCCUGCUUCACUUGACUAGCCUAAA